AUUGAACGCUGGCGGCAGGCCUAACACAUGCAAGUCGAGCGGAUGAAGGGAGCUUGCUCCUGGAUUCAGCGGCGGACGGGUGAGUAAUGCCUAGGAAUCUGCCUGGUAGUGUGGUAUAACGUCCGGAAACGGGCGCUAAUACCGCAUACGUCCUUAGGGAGAAAGUGGGGGAUCUUCGGACCUCACGCUAUCAGAUGAGCCUAGGUCGGAUUAGCUAGUUGGUGGGGUAAAGGCCUACCAAGGCGACGAUCCGUAACUGGUCUGAGAGGAUGAUCAGUCACACUGGAACUGAGACACGGUCCAGACUCCUACGGGAGGCAGCAGUGGGGAAUAUUGGACAAUGGGCGAAAGCCUGAUCCAGCCAUGCCGCGUGUGUGAAGAAGGUCUUCGGAUUGUAAAGCACUUUAAGUUGGGAGGAAGGGCAGUAAGUUAAUACCUUGCUGUUUUGACGUUACCAAAAGAAUAAGCACCGGCUAACUUCGUG
Molecule: ribosomal RNA, 484 nt
Filed under: uncultured bacterium
Lineage: Bacteria
Description: partial 16S ribosomal RNA
Rfam family: Bacterial small subunit ribosomal RNA
Source: RNAcentral